MicroRNA precursor from Camarhynchus parvulus, 92 nucleotides. NCBI's taxonomy places the organism in Eukaryota, Metazoa, Chordata, Aves, Passeriformes, Thraupidae. The record is from Ensembl.
UCCUUGAGGCUGAGGUAGUAGAUUGAAUAGUUGUGGAGUCUGGUCCUCCCUCUGAGCUAACUAUACAAUCUACUGUCUUUCCUAAGGAGACA